RNAcentral lists this unclassified non-coding RNA (248 nucleotides) under Hevea brasiliensis (rubber tree). The record is from RNAcentral. Lineage: Eukaryota; Viridiplantae; Streptophyta; Magnoliopsida; Malpighiales; Euphorbiaceae.
GGCGAACACAGAAUGGCUGAAAAACUAGAAACAGCGCUCGCAUGUCAGCUUUGAAUUGAUCAAUUCCCCCACUAGAAAAUUGGAUAUCACUAAACGAAAUGCUGCUUGAAAUGAAUCGGUCAAGGCCAUCAGCAACACUUCUCCACAAAUCCAAGAAGUCCUUUGGAUUAAGACUUGACUUAAGAAUGUUAAGCUGAAUUUUAAUAGCAUCCAGUGCUUGGACAAUAUCAAUGGAUACUGCUAAAUCC